AUAAAACCAAAUACCAGUCAAAGAACAUUAUUCAAUCCAACACGAAACAAUAUUCAGAACAACAAUAUAAUAAACAAAUAAAGAGAAAAGAGGCAUCGUUAGAGCGCAGAAAUGCAUAGAUAUGUUUUUAAGAAAAUAAAACUUAAUAACAAAAAUUGGAGGUAACAAAGGCUGUCAGCGAUGUCGCUUCGACGGUUUUCACCGGAGUAGCGCCGGUGGAAAUAAAAUCUGGCCCAGAUCUGGCUAUGUAUGGUAAGGCAGUGAUGGUUCAUUUCGACAAAAGAAUCGCCCGUCGGUGACCAAUUUCGACGAGACGCGGGGAAAGGGGAAGGAAAAGAGGAAAAUGGGGAUUUCUACCGGAGUCGUUGUUAGCUGGUGGCAUGGUUGUCGUCGUUGGAGAUUUAAGGAUGGAUGGUUAUUGGGAGUUUGAGGGUGGUGGUGGCAGCCGUGUGGUGGUGGCGUAGCUGUAUCUCGCCAUUCACAACUCCGACGAGCCAACGGCGAUAAAGAUCAAAGAGAGGUAGUGCGUGUGGCGUUGUUUCGCCGGAUUCCGUCAUUGGAGCAAUAUAUGAGGUGGUUUUCUGGUCCUGAGUAAGAGAAUAUGAGGAAAAAGAAAGGGGAAACGGGUUGUGUAUGUAUUUGUGCGUGUUUUGUGGAUUUUUAGAGAAAAAGAAAAAUAGAUGUAUGUGUUUUUUUUGUAUAUUUUGGAAGGAAAAAUAAAAAUUGAUUUUAAUGUUUAAGAGAAAAAAGAUGAACCAAAUUUGUGUGUAUAUUUUUUUUAGAGAAAAGUAGAAAAGGAGGACAGAUA
RNAcentral lists this long non-coding RNA (808 nucleotides) under Capsicum annuum. Its description in RNAcentral is "long non-coding RNA (CANN_LNC014179)". The record is from RNAcentral. Lineage: Eukaryota; Viridiplantae; Streptophyta; Magnoliopsida; Solanales; Solanaceae.